Acinonyx jubatus (cheetah) is the source of this 540-nucleotide long non-coding RNA. RefSeq lists it as uncharacterized. The transcript has 4 exons. The record is from RefSeq and is a predicted model, not a curated record. NCBI's taxonomy places the organism in Eukaryota, Metazoa, Chordata, Mammalia, Carnivora, Felidae.
GGGGGUGGGAAGUAAGAGAAAAUGAGGAAGAGAACAAAUGCACUUGAGACCUAAGGUGAAGAGAUAUGGAAUCACCACUGUUGUCCCGGAAUGGUGAUGACAGGGUUGACAUUCAAGAAGGAAAAAUUGUAAUUCUAAUUAAGCAUCUGUCUGGCUGCUGAGCUGAAAGAAGACCAUAAGGAAGCAAGAGUGAAAGCAGGUCGGCUACUGCAAUAAUCCACUUGAGAUGAUGGUGGCUCAGACCAGAGUGAUAAUAAUGGGGUGGUAAGAAGAGAGAAUUCUUGAUACACCUUGAAGGGCAGGUCCAGGAACUGGGUCUGGAGCCUUGAAAGCAGAAGAGAAACUAGAGUAAACUAGAGGCAGGCGGAACGAGAAACGUGACCAGUUCCAGCUACUGAAACAGUGGCCUUCGUGAGACCUGUGAUCUCUUUCAGCAGCAGACUGUCCAACGUGGGACCACAGACAAUAGACGAAAGAGAAAAACAGCAAAUCCACUUUCACUGGUCAAAUUAAAAUUGUAAAGUCCUCAUUUUCAGGUCG